UUUAGUAGGGAAGAAGCAAAAGUGACGGUACCUGCAGAAAAAGCACCGGCUAACUACGUGCCAGCAGCCGCGGUAAUACGUAGGGUGCAAGCGUUGUCCGGAAUUAUUGGGCGUAAAGAGCUCGUAGGCGGUUUGUCGCGUCUGCUGUGAAAUCCCGAGGCUCAACCUCGGGCUUGCAGUGGGUACGGGCAGACUAGAGUGCGGUAGGGGAGAUUGGAAUUCCUGGUGUAGCGGUGGAAUGCGCAGAUAUCAGGAGGAACACCGAUGGCGAAGGCAGAUCUCUGGGCCGUAACUGACGCUGAGGAGCGAAAGCAUGGGGAGCGAACAGGAUUAGAUACCCUGGUAGUCCAUGCCGUAAACGUUGGGCGCUAGAUGUAGGGACCUUUCCACGGUUUCUGUGUCGUAGCUAACGCAUUAAGCGCCCCGCCUGGGGAGUACGGCCGCAAGGCUAAAACUCAAAGGAAUUGACGGGGGCCCGCACAAGCGGCGGAGCAUGCGGAUUAAUUCGAUGCAACGCGAAGAACCUUACCAAGGCUUGACAUACACCGGAAACGGCCAGAGAUGGUCGCCCCCUUGUGGUCGGUGUACAGGUGGUGCAUGGUUGUCGUCAGCUCGUGUCGUGAGAUGUUGGGUUAAGUCCCGCAACGAGCGCAACCCUCGUUCUAUGUUGCCAGCGGGUUAUGCCGGGGACUCAUAGGAGACUGCCGGGGUCAACUCGGAGGAAGGUGGGGAUGACGUCAAAUCAUCAUGCCCCUUAUGUCUUGGGCUUCACGCAUGCUACAAUGGCCGGUACAAAGGGCUGCGAUACCGUAAGGUGGAGCGAAUCCCAAAAAGCCGGUCUCAGUUCGGAUUGAGGUCUGCAACUCGACCUCAUGAAGUCGGAGUCGCUAGUAAUCGCAGAUCAGCAACGCUGCGGUGAAUACGUUCCCGGGCCUUGUACACACCGCCCGUCAAGUCAUGAAAGUCGGUAACACCCGAAGCCGGUGGCCUAACCCUUGUG
Molecule: ribosomal RNA, 1000 nt
Filed under: Curtobacterium flaccumfaciens
Lineage: Bacteria; Bacillati; Actinomycetota; Actinomycetes; Micrococcales; Microbacteriaceae
Description: bacterial SSU rRNA
Rfam family: Bacterial small subunit ribosomal RNA
Source: RNAcentral